This 1969-nucleotide long non-coding RNA is filed under the name Arabidopsis lyrata. RNAcentral describes it as "long non-coding RNA (ALYR_LNC002887)". The record is from RNAcentral. Lineage: Eukaryota; Viridiplantae; Streptophyta; Magnoliopsida; Brassicales; Brassicaceae.
AAGAAGCUUAAAGAAAUUAAGGAAAAAAAAAGUUGAAGAUUUUUAUUAGUAUUAAACUAUUAUUAAUGUUUGGUACAUUCAACCCGUGAAUAAAAAAAAAAAUAGUGUAGAUUUUUGAAUUUUUUUUGGAAAAAGUAUUUUUCAUUUACUAAGGAAAAGCUUCAUAAAAGGAGUCACUGUUCUUCAAUCAAAUCAAAACAUUGAUAUGUAACUGACACAAGAAGAAGAAGAAAACGUACACAAGUACAAAUCAUCGAAAAACACAGAGACUGACUAUUUGAGAGCUUUGGUUCAUCGGAAAAAAAGAAAACCCAGAAUUCAGAGAUUUCAAAUAGAGAAAAAUGUAAACCUUUAAAAAAAAAAAAAAAAAAAAAUGUAAACCUUGUCUUGUGUGUCUUUGUAUUUUCUCAAAGUUUCCAAAUUCCGAAAAGACGGAUAAUCCGAAGCUGUCGUCGCUUCACUCACUCGAUCGCUUUUAUAAAUGUCACACAAAAUAUGACAAAACGCUUCUUCUCUCUCUCUCUCUCUUUCGUUUUAUCUUCCUCAGUGAUCGAUCCAACGGUGCGUAAAUAAAGGAUAAACCAGAGCCGUCUGAUUAUUUUUAAGUGUUGUGCCACGUAAUCUAUUAGCAGAUCGAUGUGUCAGACACGUCAGCAGCUAGAGCUGCAAAAAUGUUUGUACUACGACAUGGGUUUCCUCUGAGUUUGACGAUGAUUUGAAUCCGUACUACGACUUUGGACUUGUUUUUUUUUUUUUUUUUUCAUUUUCAAAAUUUUUAUAAUGUUUCAUUUAAGAAAAUUUUUAUAAAUAUUUAUGACCAAAUAAUCUAUCACCAAAUAAUGUAAUGGCCAAACGGCUAACCAAUUAAAUGGUUUGUUGGACACCAAAUUUAGUAGAUAUACAAAAAAAAAUAUCUAGCCUUUAUAUUGGACGGUUUAAUGGAAAUUUAAAGUAAAAAAAAAAAAAUUUAGUAGAUAUCCAAUAUUAAAAUCAAUUUUAACUAAAUAUGCGUCGGUCAUAAAUUCCCAUAUACGUUUAAAUAUAAAGGCUAGACAUGUCCAAUAUUUCUGAACGCAUCAUCUACUUCAGUGAUUAAUGAUUUUUAUGUACUUUUCCGCAACUAUAUAUAUUUUAUAUAGGGCUGUCUGCCCCUGUCCCCCUGUACUAUAGUAUUUCAAUUCGGUUCUCCAUGUACUUUCAUCUUCUUCCUAUUUCCCCUUAUACACAUGACAUUCUUCAUAAUUCCACCUUUUUUUAUAAAAUUCUACCCAAUUCCCCACAAUCAAUUAAACUCUCUAAAUGCGUUUUAAAAUCGCUAAAUCGCGUUUUAAAAUUGAUUUUCUCUGACCAAACCGGUAAUCGACCCAAAUCUCAUAACCUGAAUUGAACCUUCUAAUUGAUAGAGAGGGUUCGAUUUUCUCCCUAAAACCCUAACAAAAUCAAAUUGGGGAUUUUCUUCUCCACCCACCCCGACACCUGCGAAGACUUCUUCUUCUCCGACUAAGACUGCUUCUUCCGACAGCGACUGAGACCGUCAAAGACUCCUCUGACAUUGCCUCCUCCGACUGAGACUCCUUCGAGUUAGACUCCUCCGGUUGAGACUAUCGAAGACAUUCUCCACACAAAAAUGUCGUAAGUUUUUGGGUUUUUCUUACCAAACAUCGCCCCAUAAUUGUUGGAUUUGUUUGAAUUUGUUCGGAAUUGUAUCAAUUUGUUCGGAGUUGUAACGAUUUGUUUGGAUUAGUUGAUUUUGAGAGUGAUAAAGAGAUGUCUGACGACAUGUUUUUCAAAUGUAGUGAUAGGGAUGAUGUCGAGUACAAUGGGGGUUCUGAAUCAGAGAAUGCAGAUGAGAGUAUGGUGAACAAUACUGAAUCAGAGAGUGAAGAGCAGAUUGAAGAAAAUCUGAGAAGGAAAAAGAAGAAGAAGAAGAAGAAGAAGAAGAAGACGGAGAAGAAAGAGAAGAAGGAGA